CCUACGGGUGGCAGCAGUGAGGAAUAUUGGUCAAUGGACGCAAGUCUGAACCAGCCAUGCCGCGUGCAGGAAGACGGCUCUAUGAGUUGUAAACUGCUUUUGUACGAGGGUAAACGCAGAUACGCGUAUCUGUCUGAAAGUAUCGUACGAAUAAGGAUCGGCUAACUCCGUGCCAGCAGCCGCGGUAAUACGGGGGGUGCAAGCGUUGUCCGGAAUCAUUGGGCGUAAAGAGUUCGUAGGCGGCACGUAAAGUCUGGUGUUAAAGGCAGAGGCUCAACUUCUGUACGGCACUGGAUACUUGCGAGCUAGAAUGCGGUAGAGGUAAAGGGAAUUCCUGGUGUAGCGGUGAAAUGCUUAGAUAUCAGGAGGAACAUCGGUGGCGUAAGCGCUUUACUGGGCCGUAAUUGACGCUGAGGAACGAAAGCCAGGGUAGCAAAUGGGAUUAGAUACCCUGGUAGUC
Molecule: ribosomal RNA, 460 nt
Filed under: uncultured bacterium
Lineage: Bacteria
Description: partial 16S ribosomal RNA
Rfam family: Bacterial small subunit ribosomal RNA
Source: RNAcentral